AGCGGAGGAGGGGGAAGGCCCUAGGUGCUGUCGCUGUAAGAUGAGCCUGCGUCGAUUAGCUAGUUGGUAGGGUAAAGGCCUACCAAGGCGACGAUCGGUAGCUGGUCUGAGAGGGAGAUCAGCCACACUGGGACUGAGACACGGCCCAGACUCCUACGGGAGGCAGCAGUGCGGAAUCUGCACAAUGGGGGCAACCCUGAUGCAGCGAAUACGCGGCGUGGUAGUGCAUAGAUAGCGUCGCUUGACGGGCAGCUGUGCUGAAGAGCGUCUGACAUGUAUAUAGUGGUUCAGUAGUGGCGGAAAGCGAAUCUAGUUGAGUGUACGUCCAGCGCUAUUUUCAGAAAUGAUACGGUAGGUCAAGUGCGAUGUCGUAUUGAACCGGGGUUAACGCUGAGUGUCUAGGUAAAGGAAAGGUCAAUCC
This 421-nucleotide ribosomal RNA is filed under the name uncultured soil bacterium. RNAcentral describes it as "bacterial SSU rRNA". The stretch from base 1 to 214 matches the Rfam family "Bacterial small subunit ribosomal RNA", at positions 190 to 400 of the family's 1533-position model. The record is from RNAcentral.